Microcebus murinus (gray mouse lemur) is the source of this 4079-nucleotide non-coding RNA. The record is from RefSeq and is a predicted model, not a curated record. Lineage: Eukaryota; Metazoa; Chordata; Mammalia; Primates; Cheirogaleidae.
GGGCUCGUUGGAGGCCUUGGUCCUUGUCAGGGAGUUUGGGGGUCAGGCAGGGGUGGGCUUGGUGUGGUUGGCUGUGUUUCCUGAGGGGACCUCCGAGGCAGCAGUGGGGACAGCCGGGAGGGGCUGGACAGCUGGCAGUGGACACAGUGGACUGCGGCCUGGCCCUUGCCCCCCGAGUGGCUUGGACAGUGCCCUUCCUGGCUGCUCACCCAGGACCCAGGGGAGAGGGGCAGGUGUGACCAGGGCAGGGGGGCGGUGCCCAGGGUGCUGGCAGGAGCCCAGCUAAUUUUCCUGGGGAGAGGAGGAGGCCUGGGGGCCUGUUCUCUCCCGCCCCUGGGGCGGGCCCAACCCUCGGGGAUGGGAAGGGCGGGAGAGGCCUCCACCGCAGGCCAGCGAGGCAGGGAGGCGCCUUGCGGCUGAGCGCACCUGCCAACCGACCAGGGGCAGCAACCGCCUUCUCGGGCACGGGCCCUAGCCUGCAGCACACGUUCCUCCCAGCUCCACCCAGAGGGCCAACCCAGCAGCUGCCCCCUCCUCCCGACCCUGCAGUCAGGCUUUGGCCGCCUGUGGUCUUGGGGGGUGGGAGCUACUGAGCUGCAACCCGGGCCCAGCGCCACAGCCUGGGGAGGCGAGCGAGGACAUUUUGGCCUCUGGCGGCAGUGAAUGGUGCUGAGGCCCAGGCCCGGGAGGUUGGUGCCGCCCUGGUCGGGGCCUGGGGUUUGGGGGCAUCUUUUCCCGGGCUCCCAGUGGCAGGGGAGGCUAGGGCUGAGCUGGGGUUCACGCAGACGCAAGGGGCGGGGAGCAGCGUUGCAAGCUGAGGGCCUCUUUUCACAGUGUGCCAGUGUGAUCUCAUGUCACAGAAUCCUUCAUUCCCACCCCGACACUCACGCCUUCUUAGGAGGUAGCCCAAGACAAGGGGCAGCUGGUGUGCCUGCCCACCAGGGCUCCCCAAUCUCCCAUGAUGGCCCCCCUGGACCCCCCUUGGUGUGUGAGCAGCUGGGGGCAACGGUGACAGUGGACAGAGGGGCCUGCAUGUCAGAGUUCUGGACGCCGGUGUGCAGAGCCGGGGCAGAGGCCCGGGCCCGGGAGGCAGAGCGCACUCCCCGCAGCCUGGAGCAGGUUCUCAGGCCUCUGUGGGUGUCCCCGGGAGGCUGCUGCCCUCGGGAAGGGGCGCUCGGGCUGGCCAGGACGGAAGAACCGACCCCUUCUAAUUCCAGGCGGGCUGGGCCUCGGACGUCACCGAAGAGGCUUCUCCUCCAGGGCUGUGCGGAGCAGGCAGGCUUCCCGGGAGAGGCGUGGUCGUUGGGAUCGGACCCUGAAGGCUAAUGAUACGCACUCACAAGCGAUGGCGAGAGCUAAGAAGUAAGACGUUCCGAACGCCUGCAGUGUGUAAUGCAAGCGAACUUUGACGGUCGCAGAGCUUCCAGACCUGAAGGGCCACAGGUGUCAUGUAUUUCAGACUACGACACUGGUCUGCUUCAUAGGGGGAGGCCGGAGAGCGGGACGCGUGCUCUGCCAGGCCCGGGGACCCAGCUCCGGGCCUGCGCCCGCCCCGCAGCGCCCCCCAGCGGCCGGCAGCAGAGGCGCAGGAGCUGGGGAGGCCGCUCUGGUUCCCGUCGCCGACGGGGGCGCCCCGGGCGUGUGGCCCCUGAACCGGGGCGCCCGGUUCUCUGGACAGAGGAAGUGUGCCGUUUCGCCCCAGGACAGGGCGUAUUUCGGCUUCCUCAAACGCCGCCCGGCCCUCUGUGCCCCUCCACCGUGCACACCGAGGCGCCCAUUGACGCAGGCAGCCCCGGAGCCAGGCCGCCUUUCCUUCACAUUCCACCCGCCCCCACGCCGGAGCCCCUUCGUUGCAUAUAAAACAUAAAAGCAGGCAGGCGCGGUGCCCUCUCCCAAGCGCGCCCGCCACAUGGGCAGAGGCAGGCAGAGAGGGGUCCGAGUCUCCAGCCUGGGACGCGCCCUGCACACCCCGUCCCUACAGAAAGCCGAUACCCCGGGGUGGGUGCCCGGGAAGCUGCCCACACAGCCCUGCAAUUAGGGCGACAAUAGCAACAGCAGUGUUUGGAUGUUUUCUCUUUCACAGGGAGGGCACCCCCUUCGGCUUCCCGGAGCAGCAUGUGCAAACGAUUAAACCGGUUUGUUUUCUCUGGAGCACUCGGGAGGAAGUGACACUGACAUCCCGCGGUCUGAUGGCAGCGCCAGCGCCUCCGUGGGAACGGCCGGCAGUUUCUGAAGCUGGCGUUCCUGGGACUGGCCCCGCAGCCCCCGCCCAGUGUGGCCCCGUCCGCGGAGGCCACCCACCCCCACCCCAGAGGCUCGGCAUGGCGCCUCCCUCUGGGCUGAGAAGAAGAAUGCGGGAGGGCCGGGGCCGUGCCUCCAACCAGGUUGGCGUUUCUAGGGAGGGAAGAGGCCGCUCUUCCUGGCUGCCCACGAGGGCACCACUCUGAGCCCCCAGGGGCCGGCCCGACCCUCAGGUGGGGGAGGGAGGGGCAGGCUCUGUGCCAGGGAGGACGCUGCUCAGGCCAGGAUGCCCCUUAGCUCUCGCCUAGGUGGAAGGACAGGCCAGCAUCUUCCAGAAGCUUCCGUCAGAAAGGUCCUGCGUCCAGGGUCUCUUCCUCCUGGGCCUUCCUGUGUGUCUAAGCCAAAAGCCCACCUCAAACCUCCCCUCCUCCAUCAGCCUGUCACCCAGUCACCAACCCUUGUCCUUGCUGCCUCCCAGACAUCUCAGAGUGGGUGGCCCCAAUCCUCCCACUCUGUCCUUGUCAUGCCACUGCCCCUCCCGCCUGGACACCUGCCCCAGCCUCCGCGGGGCCCCUCUGCGUCCACUCCUAGCCCACAGUUCGUCCUCCACAUGGAGGCCAGGGGCCCUGUCCCCCCCGCCACCCAAGCAAAUCCCUCCACAGCUCCCCACAGGUGGGAUGAUGUCUGGACUUCCAGUCCCAGCCACAAGCCCACUCCAGCCGGCUCCAGUCCUCUCUCCCCACCGGCCCAGACAGACAGACAGCCUCUCCCUCGCCCCAGGACUGCACACGCUGCCCUCAGCCAGGAACACCGCGCCCUCCCUGUCUGGUGAACUCUUCGUCCUGCCGGGCACGGCUCCUCAGGAAGCCCGCCCAGAUGCCUCAGGCUAGCUCUGGGCCCCCUCUGGGCCCCCGCACAUCCCCUCGUAGCCUCAGCCCUGUGGCAUCGAAAUCGCUCCUUAGAGUUUUGCUGCCCUGGAAGAUGGCGCAUCCUUUGCGGCCCGGGACCCCGUGUCUCUCCCGGGCCCAGGGCGGGGCCUCGGUGCGCAGCAAGUGCUUGGUAACGUUCGUCCAGAGCCUGGGCAGCAAAGGGGGCCCAGGGAGCACUUACCCAUGUGACCACCAGCUCCCGGCCAGGCCCCCACAGUACCCCACUCUCCUGCUGGCCAGAGUCCUGCUGCUGGCUGGGAGGAAGCCACCCAUCCACCACACGAGACAGUCACACGGCCACCAGGCUGUCACCCACCCCCAGCUGCAUUUGCUCAUCUGAAGGGGGCAGUGCUCAACCCCCAAGAACGAGCUUUCCACGGCGGAUUCCGGGUGGACAUGGGAGGACGCUCAGGGGUGUGCUGGGGCGGUCCUCACGGCACUCUGGGUGCAGCCACUGUACCUUCUAAAUAAAACUGGGGCGUCCCUCACGCAAGGACAGAUAUUCAUGUGGCUUCCGCUUGUCUGACGCCAUCUAGAAGAUGCGGCCAUGGCUGGCACUACAGGGCACUGUGAAGUGACGCGGGCAGCGGGGAACACGGGAAAAUCAGCCACUCUCACAAACUGGACCCCAUCGAGGUAUGAUUGCUGUGCCGCCUGCCACCAGCUACCCCAAGGGCUGGGGUCUCACUCCCCACUCCCGGGGACAGGCAUCUAUGUGCUACCCUACCUCCUGGGGACUGGGCUUGGGGUUACUUUCAGCAGAGGGGCUGGUGUGCCCAUCAGAAGGGUGGCAUGGGGCCAGGCAGAGGGACUGACCUCAGGCCACCCCCCCAACCCUCAGUUUUCUGCAGGGCCCUCAGGAGUGAUGUCGUUGGCUGGGGCACACAUAUCUGCUGUCACCCCAGUUAC